Molecule: long non-coding RNA, 1225 nt
Organism: Mesocricetus auratus (golden hamster)
Lineage: Eukaryota; Metazoa; Chordata; Mammalia; Rodentia; Cricetidae
Exons: 2
Source: RefSeq, a predicted model, not a curated record
UCUGGUGGCAUGCAGACAGAAGACUGAAUACAUAAAUAUAUUAAAAAUCUUUGUGAAUGUGAGCAUGCAUGGUGCACAUGUGGAGGUCAGAACAACCACGGGUCUCUGUUUCCCCUUCCUUGCUUGUUCUCUCUGUACAUCCAGCUGUCUAGCCUAGCUUGUGAGCUUCUGCAAAUUCUUGUCUCUACCUCCCACCUUGCCUAUGAGCCAAGAGGUAUGUUACCAUGUUCAGCUUUGUACAUAGGUUCUGGGGAUAUGAACUCAGGCCCUCAUGCUUGUAUCAUUCCAGACUCCCAGCCAAGUAGUUUAUUGGUAUGCAGUGACCCUUUACUGUGAUAGUUAACUCUAAUAUAAAUAUUCUACCAUAAAUAUCAAUGUGAGGACAUCAACUUCCUUUUGGCUAUAAUUUGUAAGAUAAUUUAAUAUUUUUAUUUUCAAUCUUUAUACUCUUGCAUAUAUUUCCUGUAAGAAUAAUAUGCAUUAUUUUCCUUUUUGGAAAUCCAAGGUCUUAUACUUGACUACUGAGCUACGUCCUUAGUUAACCCAUGUCUGUCUUUUCACUGUAGUCAUUAGUAAUUCACAGCUAAUUUUCUUUUUUGAAUUGAUUUUUACUUUUUACUCCUACGUGAGUAUCAUAUUCCACUUGAUUUAAUAUGCACCCAAAAAAGACAUGAAUAUAACACUUGUAUGUGUACAAUCACACAAAAUGAUGAAGCCUCAGAAAUUGGAACUUCCAAGACAGAUUAGUAAUUUUCUACCUAAACAGAUAGCAUAUAAGACCUAGUAAUAAGAUCCAUAAAUACAUAUGUCUAAGCUUAUAGCUUGUUAAAGCCAUUUCCUCUCUGCCUAUUACACAGUGAUGCCAUUAGUAAAUGUGUGUUCAUUCUAUCUUGCUAAAAAUUUUCCUCCUAAUAUUCAGUCCAGGGAGAACUUUAAAAAUAUCACAAAGAUUUAUUUUUCACUACAACUAUUCUGUUGCCAGGUGUGAUACCUUUAAUCCCAACAUUACGGAGGCAGAGACAGGUGGAUCUCUGAGUUGGAGACCAGCCUGAUCUAACAAACAUUCAAGAAAUGGAAAUACCAAGUAUUCUUCUAAAACCUUUCCAGAAAGAUUGUGCUAGUAGCAGUCUCUAAGAAGGUGCCUUAACUUCCCUAGCAGCAGCACUGCUUUGUAUCUUUUUAAAAUUAUGGAUGAUCCGAUACAUUAAACUGGGUUAUCAGAUGA